GAAGUAGAAAAAAAUGAAAUGGGGUGUAGGUGAAGCCCUGCGAUAGUAAGGAAGGGAGUAUAUAUCCUAAGUUGUCGUCAAUGAAUGAUUUAAUGAAUGCACUGAAUCCUCAACCAUUUUGAUCAAAAUGAUUUAAUGUAGAACUACUUCACAAAAUUCAUUAAUUGCAAGGGUAUUUAUGGAAUUUUGGGGUACAGGGUGAAAGGGUUGGAGGUGCAGGGUGAAACACCCAGAAUCUUUUUAUAUAAACUUUGGCUUUUUCCACACCUCCCUUUUUUCUCCUACACCCACAAUUUUUUUUAAAUAUUAAAUUAUCUCCUUUUUACUUUGAUAGGGUAAAAACAUAAUUACUCUUUUUCUUUAUUUAUUCUCUUAGCAACCCUCAAUCUCGUAGUUAUCCUACCGCUUCACACUCACCUCUCAUAGUCUUUAUCCACCUAACAACCUUCUUCCUUCGAAUUUUCACUCCCCAUAAGUACAACCCUUCUUUUAUGUAUCUUUUCC
Molecule: long non-coding RNA, 504 nt
Filed under: Vigna radiata
Lineage: Eukaryota; Viridiplantae; Streptophyta; Magnoliopsida; Fabales; Fabaceae
Description: long non-coding RNA (VRAD_LNC015467)
Source: RNAcentral